GACGUAGGGCGCGAGCGUUGUCCGGAUUUAUUGGGCGUAAAGAGCUCGUAGGCGGUUCGGUAAGUCGGGUGUGAAACCUCCAGGCUCAACCUGGAGACGCCACCCGAUACUGCUGUGACUCGAGUCCGGUAGGGGAGCGUGGAAUUCCUGGUGUAGCGGUGAAAUGCGCAGAUAUCAGGAGGAACACCAGCGGCGAAGGCGGCGCUCUGGGCCGGUACUGACGCUGAGGAGCGAAAGCGUGGGUAGCAAACAGG
Molecule: ribosomal RNA, 254 nt
Filed under: uncultured bacterium
Lineage: Bacteria
Description: partial 16S ribosomal RNA
Rfam family: Bacterial small subunit ribosomal RNA
Source: RNAcentral